CAAUAGCGUAUAUUAAAGUUGUUGCAGUUAAAAAGCUCGUAGUUGGAUUUCUGGUGGGGCUGUCGGCCUGGCUCCGAAAGGGGUCGUGGUAUCGUUACACGCCUGGCCAUCCUCGGGGGAAGCUUUGCUGGCAUUAAGUUGUCGGCGGAGUGACGCUCGUCGUUUACUGUGAACAAAUUAGAGUGUUCAAAGCAGGCUUAGGCCGUUGAAUACAUUAGCAUGGAAUAAUGAGAUAGGACUUUGGUGGUCUAUUUUGUUGGUUUGCACGCCGAAGUAAUGAUUAAUAGGGGCGGUUGGGGGUAUUCGUAUUCAAUUGUCAGAGGUGAAAUUCUUGGAUUUAUGGAAGACGAACUACUGCGAAANCANNNACCAAGGAUGUUUUCAUNAA
This 388-nucleotide ribosomal RNA is filed under the name uncultured eukaryote. RNAcentral's name for it is "partial 18S ribosomal RNA". It matches the Rfam family "Eukaryotic small subunit ribosomal RNA", at positions 592 to 976 of the family's 1831-position model. The record is from RNAcentral.